This 301-nucleotide ribosomal RNA is filed under the name uncultured bacterium. RNAcentral's name for it is "partial 16S ribosomal RNA". It matches the Rfam family "Bacterial small subunit ribosomal RNA", at positions 509 to 807 of the family's 1533-position model. The record is from RNAcentral.
CAGUAGCCGCGGUAAUACGGAGGGGGCUAGCGUUGUUCGGAAUUACUGGGCGUAAAGCGCACGUAGGCGGCUUGGUAAGUUAGAGGUGAAAGCCCGGAGCUCGACUCCGGAAUUGCCUUUAAGACUGCCGAGCUAGUAGGUGAGAGAGGUAAGCGGAAUUCCGAGUGUAGAGGUGAAAUUCGUAGAUAUUCGGAAGAACACCAGUGGCGAAGGCGGCUUACUGGCUCAUCCUAGACGCUGAGGUGCGAAAGCGUGGGGAGCAAACAGGAUUAGAUACCCGUGUAGUCCCUGUCUCUUAUAC